GCCUACGGGAGGCAGCAGUGGGGGAUAUUGCACAAUGGGGGGAACCCUGAUGCAGCGACGCCGCGUGGGUGAAGAAGCGCCUCGGCGCGUAAAGCCCUGUCAGCAGGGAAGAAAAUGACGGUACCUGAAGAAGAAGCCCCGGCUAACUACGUGCCAGCAGCCGCGGUAAUACGUAGGGGGCAAGCGUUAUCCGGAUUUACUGGGUGUAAAGGGGGCGCAGACGGCGAUGCAAGCCAGGAGUGAAAGCCCGGGGCUCAACCCCGGGACUGCUUUUGAAACUGCGGAGCUGGAGUGCAGGAGAGGUA
RNAcentral lists this ribosomal RNA (305 nucleotides) under uncultured bacterium. Its description in RNAcentral is "bacterial SSU rRNA". It matches the Rfam family "Bacterial small subunit ribosomal RNA", at positions 337 to 659 of the family's 1533-position model. The record is from RNAcentral.